CUUUGUGAACGGUGUAAUUUUCAAUCAUCUUACAAAAUAUACUUCUUCUUUUUUUUUAAGAUGAUACAUUCCUUAAGUGAUGCAAAAGACAAAAGAGAAGGCUAUUCUAAAAUCCGUCUUAUAUUUGAAUCACUGUGGUCUGUCAUAGAAAAAUCAAAAUGGUUAUUAAUAGAAAAAUAAGAUGUAGCCGGUGUUGCAAACAGGACAGCCUACUAUAGUCUACACAAUGCAGCCAACUCCGUUGCUGAUAGGCUACUUGCCAGCCACAAUAUCACUGCUUCUAAUAUUACAUGACGGAUUUUAUUUGAUAGUUCAGGUGUACCAUGAAGUAUAACGAACCGAUCAAACAUCACAUAGGCCAUGCCCGUUAAUUCCAUAGGCAGGUCAUUCUUAGAAAAAAAGAUAGGCUAUAAACGGAGAAGGAAAGUAACGCUACGCCAUAUGUCUUAUUUACAUCCUUAUUUACCAGCAAUGUUAGCGCGUUUUCUUUCCACUUACGCACGGCAUCUAGCUAUUCCUUUUAUAGUUAUCGCCUGCUGUGCCUGAACCGGUCUAACACAAUGACGCUUAGACUUGGCCAACGCGGAAACUGCAGACAGCUGAAAGAAGCACCACACCAAAGCUCUCUAUUGCCAGCUUGCGUGAUAUCCACAUAGCGGCUGCCUAUUUCCAUAUCUGCUCGGAAAGAUUCUAACACCCAAGACUAGAAACUUCAACCUGGCAUCCUGCAACUCCCCUGGAACAGGGAAAAUUACUGUCAUAUGCAGUGUCAAUGAACUAUGACCCUGGGGCUUCUCAGGGUUUUGACCAAUGGCCUUUUUUUGGAUUAAAGUGCAAGGUGGUGACAAGCAUUUGUCCUGAGAAAUAGCAGCUCAGGUAAUUUUGCCUCCAUGAAUCAGUGAAAAAUGAAACUUUAUUAUUAUGUUACUCUAGGUUCGUCAUGUUGUUUAGUUUGUUUCUUGUUACGAUUAAUUUUCUUGUCAUGUCUAGUUAUGUUUCGUUACGAUUAUUUUACCUUGUUAUGUUGAGUGGUUAUCGUCUUAGUUCGUUUAGUGUUAUGUUUUGAUUUAUGUUUAUUGUUACGCAGACUGGUCGUUGUUUAAACAUACACUUUUACAUGUCUUUCCGCAAACCUUGCGUUCCGGCUUUCUCUCUCUCUCUUUCUGUCACUCACACCCUAAUUGUUUCUAUUUGUCUAUUUACUAAAACUACGAAUGCUAGAUCAGGAUUGGGUAAAACUAACAGACUAAUCAUGUGUUCAUGUUAUCUUACGUUUCUUGUGCAUGUCAUUUACUAAUUUACUAAUGCUAGGGCAGGAUAGGUUUAUUACUAACGAUUACUAAUUACCUUGUUAAACUUGUCAUCCAUCGCACCUGUUUUCCAUUCCCUUGCUGCUCUCUAACUAAUUGUCUACACCUGCAUUUAUAGCCCAGUCGCACUUCUGUUUGUUGCGAAAUUGUCUGCCUCUUGUCCGUCAAAGCAACGCUUGAGCAUUAUUCCCAUUGAUUACACUUUAAGAUCAAGCCUGUUUAUCGACCACUGUUUAUUGAUUUCUGUUUCGUUGACCAUCGCUUGUUUUUGACCUUGUCCUCGCCUACUGUUUUUGUACCUUUGCCUCGCUGUUUGUUUUAUGGUUUCGACUUCUGCAUCGCCCUCGACUACGACUCUGCCUGCCGCCCGCCUGUACUUCUGCCCCACUGACAGCUCUCCUGCUACCGGACCUCCCUGCACGUCUACCGACUACGAGUUUGCCUCUUCCCUCGGCACCGUGCUUUCUGAUUAUUUAUUGUUUUAUUGGCUGGAUCUACGUGUAUGGACUUUACUUGUUUUGACUACGCUCCUGGGAUUCGUCCCGAAUAAAGCCCUGACGCGACUCUAUUUUACUAUUGUUUCUGAGUCGUGCAUUUUGGGUCCAACCCCCACGCACCCGUCUCAAAUACUAUAUAAUACUAUAACACUGCUGUCAUUAAAUGAUUACUUGCUUUUUUCAUGAUGCCA
Conger conger (European conger) is the source of this 1998-nucleotide long non-coding RNA. RefSeq lists it as uncharacterized. The transcript has 2 exons. The record is from RefSeq and is a predicted model, not a curated record. Lineage: Eukaryota; Metazoa; Chordata; Actinopteri; Anguilliformes; Congridae.